AAUUUAAUUAAUUAGUCAAAUUUCACUAAGUCAUGUUUCAAUCUACUUGCAUUCUAACUAGCUUCACUCUUGUAUUAUUUCAGUAAACAAGAUUUAAAAUUUUAUUGUAAAUUUUACAGACAUUUAACUGACUUAGAAUGAAUUUCCUGUUUUUUAAACAUGUAGCCUGGAGAUAUUUUGAUCACAUAUAGUACAGAUAUUGGAUGGACACCAUAUUUUCCUCUACUUUCAGGAGUUGUGACAGAACUAGGAGGCUUAAUAUCACAUGGUGCUGUUGUUGCUCGUGAGUAUGGUCUGCCUUGCAUCGUAGGGGCUAAGGGAGCAGUAUAUUGCUUUAAAUCAGGUCAAAGGUAACAAACAUGUACAGUAUAGUUACAAACGAAAAACUGUUAGAAUGGAUAGAAAAGGUGAAGAAGGCUGAUAAUGAAUGAUGAGAAGUUCCCUGAGACAAGUUCUACUGACGAAUUCUGUCUUGUGCAUUCCGAACUGUAUUCCAACUCAAAGUCGCGAGAAAAAUGGUUGCAGUGCAUGGUUUAUUUAAACUGAUCACACGAAGUGUGUACUGAAGGAAAUGCAACUUACAUACGCCUUGGAUAACUUGACUGUGAUGAUGAUAGAUGAUUUUAAUGUUCAAUCAUUUAUAUAUCAUCAUCACAGUCAAGUACCCAAGGAAAAUAACAAUCUGCCCCGAUAUGGGGAAAGUUGUUACAUUCUUCAUCGCUUUGUUUAUUUUUGUUUUUCUACAACUUCUUAUACUUUGGAGACAUAAAAAAUGUUCAUAAUUUCUUUAACUGAAAUUUUAUUCACAAAAAUUCUAAAUGCGACCAGCCCGCCUGUUCUACUUAAUUUUUUGGUAUGACUGACAGAAAAUGAUUUUUCCAUCCAUAGUAGUAUGCGAAUUCCCUUGUCUGUAAUCGCAUGAAAUGGAAUCAGCAGGACACCGAAUAAAACUGUCUGAAGUAUGAUAGUUGAUGUAUUUAAAUUGUUUAAAUAUAAAAGAUAAAUUUGAAUAAACCCAGACCUGAAUAAACGGUUGCACAAUUUUUAACAAUCUAAUUAUACUGUAAAAAAUUCAAAUAUUAAAGGAAUACAUAAACUCAAACUUUGAUUGGUAGUUUAAAUCUUGUUUGAUAGUAACAACUCUGCCAAUCAGUCGCCUAAAUGCUGUUGACAUGCUAGAAAAAACGAAGGAGAUGGAGAAAUAUAUAGUAAACACUAAAAUAUGGGGAAAAUAUGUUACCUAAAAUUAGCAUAAUUGACUUCAGACCUAGACGGGAAAUAUCGAAGUUUGACUUCCCUGCAUAUCAGCAAGAAAAACACG
Long non-coding RNA from Centruroides sculpturatus (bark scorpion), 1321 nucleotides. RefSeq lists it as uncharacterized. Lineage: Eukaryota; Metazoa; Arthropoda; Arachnida; Scorpiones; Buthidae. The record is from RefSeq and is a predicted model, not a curated record. The transcript has 3 exons.